This is a small nucleolar RNA of Quercus robur (English oak), 85 nucleotides long. RefSeq annotates it as small nucleolar RNA snoR31. The record is from RefSeq and is a predicted model, not a curated record. The transcript has a single exon. Lineage: Eukaryota; Viridiplantae; Streptophyta; Magnoliopsida; Fagales; Fagaceae.
UAGAUUGGGAUGAAGCGAAAUAAAUUAAUUCAACACUUGAUCUGAGAUAUUCAUUAUUGAUUAAACGACUUGUUACUAAAUCUAU